GGUAGUGUGGCCGAGUGGUCCAAGGCGCUGGGUUGAGGCUCUAGUCUCUUCGGAGGCGUGGGUUCAAAUCCCACUGCUGCCA
Molecule: non-coding RNA, 82 nt
Organism: Ictalurus furcatus (blue catfish)
Lineage: Eukaryota; Metazoa; Chordata; Actinopteri; Siluriformes; Ictaluridae
Source: the annotation of a RefSeq genome assembly